RNAcentral lists this ribosomal RNA (390 nucleotides) under uncultured bacterium. RNAcentral's name for it is "bacterial SSU rRNA". It matches the Rfam family "Bacterial small subunit ribosomal RNA", at positions 28 to 416 of the family's 1533-position model. The record is from RNAcentral.
AAUGAACGUUGGCGGCGUGGAUUAGGCAUGCAAGUCGAACGAAUCCCACCUGGGUAACUGGGUGGGGGAAGUGGCGAAAGGGGCAGUAAGGCAUGGGUAACUUGCCCCGGAGUUCGGGAUAGCCUUCCUAACGGAUGGGUAAUACCGAAUGCCGUACUGAGGGGGCAUCCUCUUGGUACGAAAGUUCCGACGCUCCGGGAGAGGUCCAUGUGGUAUUAGCUAGUUGGUGGGGUAACGGCCCACCAAGGCCAAGAUGCCAGCAGGUGUGAGAGCACGACCUGCGUCACUGGCACUGGGACACUGGCCAGACUCCUACGGGAGGCUGCAGUCGAGGAUCUUCGGCAAUGGGCGAAAGCCUGACCGAGCGACGCCGCGUGUGCGAUGAAGGCC